CACGUGGGUAACCUGCCCAAGAGAUCGGGAUAACACCUGGAAACAGAUGCUAAUACCGGAUAAUAACAGAUGAUGCCUAUCAACUGUUUAAAAGAUGGUUCUGCUAUCACUCUUGGAUGGACCUGCGGUGCAUUAGCUAGUUGGUAGGGUAACGGCCUACCAAGGCGAUGAUGCAUAGCCGACCUGAGAGGGUAAUCGGCCACAUUGGGACUGAGACACGGCCCAAACUCCUACGGGAGGCAGCAGCC
RNAcentral lists this ribosomal RNA (248 nucleotides) under uncultured Lactobacillus sp. Its description in RNAcentral is "partial 16S ribosomal RNA". It matches the Rfam family "Bacterial small subunit ribosomal RNA", at positions 114 to 355 of the family's 1533-position model. Lineage: Bacteria; Bacillati; Bacillota; Bacilli; Lactobacillales; Lactobacillaceae. The record is from RNAcentral.